UGUUCAGUAGCUCAGUUGGUAGAGCGGCUGCCAUUUAGGGCGGCAGGUCGUGGGUUCGAGACCCACUUGGACGU
This 74-nucleotide transfer RNA is filed under the name Xanthomonas phage X1. RNAcentral's name for it is "tRNA-OTHER". It matches the Rfam family "tRNA". Rfam says of the family: Transfer RNA (tRNA) molecules are approximately 80 nucleotides in length. Their secondary structure includes four short double-helical elements and three loops (D, anti-codon, and T loops). Further hydrogen bonds mediate the characteristic L-shaped molecular structure. tRNAs have two regions of fundamental functional importance: the anti-codon, which is responsible for specific mRNA codon recognition, and the 3' end, to which the tRNAs corresponding amino acid is attached (by aminoacyl-tRNA synthetases). tRNAs cope with the degeneracy of the genetic code in two manners: having more than one tRNA (with a specific anti-codon) for a particular amino acid; and 'wobble' base-pairing, i.e. permitting non-standard base-pairing at the 3rd anti-codon position. Lineage: Duplodnaviria; Heunggongvirae; Uroviricota; Caudoviricetes. RNAcentral also lists the same sequence under 1 other name. The record is from RNAcentral.